Molecule: RNA transcript, 4020 nt
Organism: Chelonia mydas (Green sea turtle)
Lineage: Eukaryota; Metazoa; Chordata; Testudines; Cheloniidae
Gene: TTC1
Gene name: tetratricopeptide repeat domain 1
Exons: 10
Source: RefSeq, a predicted model, not a curated record
UCGGUCUUCACAAGACUCCAAUUCCCAGCAAGCCCCACACCUUGAGCUUCUAUUGGCCGGGAGAGGCCGGAAGUGGUUGGGCUACGGAAGGUCAGAGGUUAGAGGGGACGCCAGUCGCCCGCCGGAGUGGAAGAGAAGCCGGUCCUUGCUGAAGUCUGCUUAACCCUUCAGGAGAUCUCAAGAUGGAAGAAACUGGAGAAUCCAAUCCACCUGAAGAAUUGCUCCAUGGCUUAAAGCUUUCUGAUCAGAAGUCAUCAGAGAACACCAGUCCUUUGACAGCUGGUUCCAAAGAUGCACAUCUUCCAAGAAGCCUGGACCGGGGAGAUCUUCAUUCCUCUGCCCAAGAGGCUAGAGCAGCAGAUGAGUGUUUUCAUGACUGUAAAGAGUCCUUUGAGGUAAAGGAACCAGGAAUAGAACAGGAGAGAGACAACAGUGAGGAUCCCAUAGGGAAACAGACAGAAUUAGAUGAAGAAUACCUAUUAGAACUGGAAAAAAAUAUGCCAGAGGAAGAAAAACAGAAAAGAAGAAAGGAGAGCACAACGUUAAAGGAGAAAGGAAAUGAGCAGUUUAAGAAAGGAGAAUAUGGGGAAGCAGAAGACUCCUACACAAAAGCUGUACAGGUUUGCCCAGCCUGCUACCAAAAAGACAGGUCUGUUUUGUUUUCAAACAGAGCUGCUGCAAGAAUGAAACAGGACAAGACAGAAGCUGCCCUAAGUGACUGCAGCAAAGCAAUCGAACUAGAUCCUAACUAUAUCAGAGCUCUGCUGAGGAGAGCAGAACUAUAUGAAAAAACAGAAAAACUAGAUGAAGCCCUGGAGGAUUAUAAAACAGUCCUAGAAAAAGAUCCAUCAGUACAUCACGCAAGAGAAGCCUGCAUGCGAUUACCUAGACAGAUUGAAGAGCGGAAUGAAAAAUUAAAAACAGAAAUGUUAGGCUCGCAAAACAAAUACCAUGGAGGAACAUUUCUCAUCCUGAGGAAUCCCUUGUUGUGAGUUAUGCAAAAUGCUGACUACUGAUGUAAAGGACAAAAGAGGUGGCCUUGAAUCCAAGAGGCGUCACACUACUUAUUCUGAAGCAGAGACAAUGGCAGUCAGCAAGGGGAAAGACACAAAGAAAAAAUGCAGCUCAGAAUGAUAAGAGACUCCUUGGAGAACUACAGGAUUGAAGUGGCAGCUCCUUCAGCCCUUGGUUGCAAGCUUUCUUCCCCACUGUCUUCCAGGCAUCCGAGUUAAAUGAGUGUUAUCAACACCACCAAACUGAGUAAAAAUCUCUUCCCCUUACAAUUACUUAUGUUUAAGUCUCUUUUGAUGUUAGAAUUCCACAAUCUACUAAGAAAUCCUCAAUAUGCCCUACAAUUUCUAAUGAAAAAAGAAGAGAAAAUAACUUUUCCCAUGGGAGAGAAACAAGGUAGGAAUCUCCUUAAUUCAUAAAAAGGGUGCAAUGAAUUUUUGAUUCUCUUUGCCAGUCACCUUUAAAUUAAGCUUUCAUGGAUGUCCCUGACGGGUUGAAACCAUGUGAUCUGUCAGCAAAAGGCAACUUGUCCAUUUCCAAUUCCAGCAGCUAUAAUGAAACUUGCUGUAUACAUUUACCUUCCUGUGAAAAGUAAUUCUCUGAGAAGGUAUAAGACUCUUCCAUUACAUUCCAGCCAAUCAAAUCUAAAUCUCUAAAAAGGUAUUAAACCCAGGAUCCUGUCCAGAAAGACCACUAAGACAGAGAUAAUUUUAACUAUGUUACUAGUUUUUUUAAUCAUUCAUUGAUUAAAAUAAAUUAGUACAUAAUGUUAAUUUUAGUGCUGGAUGUUUUAGAAAAACAGGUCCUAACAUGCACCUUAUUAAUAUCAAUAGUGAAAUGAUGAGUUUUGGUCUCAAAAAGACGAAAGAACAUUAAAUAACAUGUAAUUCUUUAUGAAGUGCUUAUUCACAUAGAUCCCAGUAUAAUCUGAAGAUAUACUUCCUGCCUUUACUUUUUAUUGGUCCUUAAAAAGCAUUUCUUCGGUUCUUGUUAUAGAACCACAAAGCAGCUAAAGUAGGGAUGGCCAAACUUACUGACCCUCUGAGCCACAUACGAUAAUCUUCAGAAGUUCAAGAGCCUGGCAUUCCUGCUGGGGCUUCUGCCCUGCGCAGAGGGGGGUCUCGGGGUUUCAGACCCGCAGGAGGCACCUGCUGGGGUUUUAGCCACGUGGGGCAUGCCUGCUGGCUUCAGUCCCACGGAGGCACCUGCUGGGGCUUUGGGCUUCAGCCCCACUCCUGCUGAAGCCCUGAGCCCAGUCAGGUGUGUCCUGAGCCCUGACAGGUGCGUCCACCAUGCCGCAAGGCAGAAGCCCCUAGCUUCCCCCCCUUUCCCCAGUCGGGUAGAAGGGUGAAUGUGCGGGAGGGACAUGCGGGGCUCCACAAGCUGCACUUUAACUGUAAAAGAGCCGCAUGUGACUCGGGAGCUGCAGUUUGGCCAAACCUGAGCAAAGACAUCACUACACCUUAGACUCAAGCUAACACUUCUUAGACACCUACAAUUUGGCUCAUCUUCAGAGGAACUAUCAGAACUUGUUUCACGGUAUCUACAAUUUUGAAAUGCUGGCAGGGCAUAAUCAAAUACCAACCAUAAAUAUAAAUAUCUUCUCCAGAGCCCAGCAAAAAGUCUAGGCACAGUUAGAGUCAGAAAAGCAAUAACUUCUAAUUCAAUAGAGAUUUGUGCUGUAUCAGUCAGUCUUCCCUAUUUUAUACACCUGUUAUCACAAAUACAAAGCAAAUACAGGUGGGAGAGUAAGUGGGAUUUAGUUUGUGUAUCACCAUCAUUAAACUGAGUUCUAGUUGCAGAAUCUAUUAUUGAUGAUAAUGCAGAAGCAGGACCUGAACCUGCUCCCUAAGGACUAGAUCAUGGAGUUACCUACAAGCCCUGGGCUACCCCAGGAGCACAUUAGGCACCAUAUUUUGAUUCAGAGUCACCAUUUGAUCCCUGCUUCCCCUUUGGUCCAAACUAUACCUUGUGCCUCUUACUUACCCUCUGCACCAGCUUCUUUGGAUUGAGGGUUGAAGGAGAAAAAUAAAACAUCCAGUCUCCACCUUCACAGGAUGGGGAGUAACAUCCCUGAAGCACCAGCUCUCCCCCCGACACACAGAUCAAUGAUGUGGGGAGCCUACACAGAUGAAUAAGGUGGUGUCUUUGGCCAUGUCUAUACAUACAGCGCUGCAGCUGUACCAAUACCACUGUGCUGCUGCACUGCAUCUGGUGAAGACGCUCUAUGCUGACAGGAGCUCUCCUGCUGGCAUUAAAAAAAAAAAGCAGCACUCCGAGAGCAGCAGAAGCUAUGUCGGUGGGAAUUCUUCUGCUGACAUAGUGACGUGCACAAUAGUGCUUAUGUCAGUGUAACAAACUACAUCCCUACAAGCAACUCAAGCCACUCCUUACCACAUUAUUCUUGAUCCUGUGUGCCAUUCAGCUUUGCUCUCCUUCUAGUCCCACAACACCCAGUUCUUAUGGCUACCUUUACAACACCUAGGUGAAAAUAAAGUAAACGGACAAGAUAUCUCAUCUCAACCUUUCAUUAUUGUAAGUGUUGUGUGUAACUUUGCUCACCUCCAUGUUUACUAACUCAGACUCAUAGAUAUUAAGGUCAGAAGGGACCGUUAUGAUCAUCUAGUCUGACCUCCUGCACAAUGCAAGCCACAGAAUCUCACCCACCCACUCCUGCAAUAAACCUCUCACCUAUGUCUGAGCUAUUGAAGUCCUCAAAUCAUGGGUUUAAAGACUCCAAGUGCAGAGAAUCCUCCAGCAAGUGACCCAUGCCCCAUGCUACAGAGGAAGGCGAAAAACCGGAUUUAUUGCACAAAAUAGUUAACUUCUAUCCCCCUAACAAUGGACUGCUAAUACGCUUGUUACUUCGUGUUUAGUCAUUUAUAUGACAAUGUACCUGCUGUUCCUAUUCAUAUAGUUGCCUGUAUAACCUCAGGUAUAAUUUAUGCCCCUUCUUGUAAUUAUCCAUUUGAAUAAAUUGUAAGUGAAAGGAGACAGGAGCUGAAUUAA